Molecule: ribosomal RNA, 390 nt
Filed under: uncultured bacterium
Lineage: Bacteria
Description: bacterial SSU rRNA
Rfam family: Bacterial small subunit ribosomal RNA
Source: RNAcentral
AUCGAGAGGGGAAUAACCCGGCGAAAGUCGGACUAAUACCGCAUAAAACAGGGGCACCGCAUGGUGAUAUUGUAAAGAAUUCGCUGAUAGAUGGGCAUGCGGUUCCAUUAGGUAGUUGGUGAGGUAACGGCUCACCAAGCCGACGAUGGAUAGGGGAACGUGAGAGGUUGGUCCCCCACACUGGUACUGAGACACGGACCAGACUCCUACGGGAGGCAGCAGUGAGGAAUAUUGGUCAAUGGGCGGGAGCCUGAACCAGCCAAGUCGCGUGAAAAGGAAGAAGGAUCUAUGGUUCGUAAACUUCUUUUGCAGGGGAAUAAAGUGCAGGACGUGUCCUGUUUUGUAUGUACCCUGAGAAUAAGGAUCGGCUAACUCCGUGCCAGCAGCCGC